Molecule: ribosomal RNA, 301 nt
Filed under: uncultured bacterium
Lineage: Bacteria
Description: partial 16S ribosomal RNA
Rfam family: Bacterial small subunit ribosomal RNA
Source: RNAcentral
CAGUAGCCGCGGUAAUACAGAGGGUGCAAGCGUUAAUCGGAAUUACUGGGCGUAAAGCGCGCGUAGGUGGUUUGUUAAGUUGGAUGUGAAAUCCCCGGGCUCAACCUGGGAACUGCAUCCAAAACUGGCAAGCUAGAGUAUGGUAGAGGGUGGUGGAAUUUCCUGUGUAGCGGUGAAAUGCGUAGAUAUAGGAAGGAACACCAGUGGCGAAGGCGACCACCUGGACUGAUACUGACACUGAGGUGCGAAAGCGUGGGGAGCAAACAGGAUUAGAUACCCCGGUAGUCCCUGUCUCUUAUAU